UCCCAUGUAGUCUAUCGGUUAGGAUACUCCGCUUUCACCGGAGAGGGCCGGGUUCGAUUCCCGGCGUGGGAA
RNAcentral lists this transfer RNA (72 nucleotides) under Colletotrichum orbiculare MAFF 240422. Its description in RNAcentral is "tRNA-Glu (TTC) (tRNA-Glu-TTC-1-1)". It matches the Rfam family "tRNA". Rfam says of the family: Transfer RNA (tRNA) molecules are approximately 80 nucleotides in length. Lineage: Eukaryota; Fungi; Ascomycota; Sordariomycetes; Glomerellales; Glomerellaceae. The record is from RNAcentral.